This 200-nucleotide ribosomal RNA is filed under the name uncultured bacterium. RNAcentral describes it as "partial 16S ribosomal RNA". It matches the Rfam family "Bacterial small subunit ribosomal RNA", at positions 30 to 234 of the family's 1533-position model. The record is from RNAcentral.
AUUGAACGCUGGCGGCAGGCCUAACACAUGCAAGUCGAGCGCGAAAGUUCUUCGGAAUGAGUAAAGCGGCGGACGGGUGAGUAAUACAUGGGAAUCUGCCUGGUAGUGGGGGACAACGUUUCGAAAGGAACGCUAAUACCGCAUACGCCCUACGGGGGAAAGGGGGGGAUCUUCGGACCCUCGCUAUCAGAUGAGCCCAU